UAACCCCUCAAGCCUAGCUUGGUGUUGGGGCCUGCCGCACCGGCAGCCCUUAAAAUCAGUGGCGGCGCCGUCGGGCUCUAAGCGUAGUAAUUCUUCUCGCUAUAGAGUCCUGGUGGAUGCUAGCCAUAACCCCCAACUUUCUAU
Molecule: unclassified non-coding RNA, 144 nt
Filed under: uncultured Helotiales
Lineage: Eukaryota; Fungi; Ascomycota; Leotiomycetes; Helotiales
Description: sequence contains ITS2
Source: RNAcentral